GUAGGGAAUGAUUCAUAAUCAUCUUUAUCAAAAAUUUCUUAUUGAGCUAACAUAUUCACCCUAUUCUUGUUGAUAUGAUCUAGCCUACAAUGUCAAAGAUAGGCAUCUAUGACAUCAUCUAUUCUAGGAUAUUUAUUUUAAAUAUACAUUACAUUAGGCCUAAAUACAACAUAGAUACCAUUAUUCAACUGUCCAUGUAAAAUUGUAACACCAUUCAAAAUAAUAUCACAAAAGUUUUUUUAUUAAUAUUUUAUAAUUGAAAUUAGCCAAAAGACCU
This 277-nucleotide long non-coding RNA is filed under the name Elaeis guineensis (African oil palm). RNAcentral's name for it is "long non-coding RNA (EGUI_LNC036222)". The record is from RNAcentral. Lineage: Eukaryota; Viridiplantae; Streptophyta; Magnoliopsida; Arecales; Arecaceae.